This 404-nucleotide ribosomal RNA is filed under the name uncultured bacterium. RNAcentral's name for it is "bacterial SSU rRNA". It matches the Rfam family "Bacterial small subunit ribosomal RNA", at positions 355 to 776 of the family's 1533-position model. The record is from RNAcentral.
UGGGGAAUAUUGCACAAUGGGGGAAACCCUGAUGCAGCGACGCCGCGUGAAGGAAGAAGUAUUUCGGUAUGUAAACUUCUAUCAGCAGGGAAGAAAAUGACGGUACCUGACUAAGAAGCCCCGGCUAACUACGUGCCAGCAGCCGCGGUAAUACGUAGGGGGCAAGCGUUAUCCGGAUUUACUGGGUGUAAAGGGAGCGUAGGCGGUUCAGCAAGUCAGAAGUGAAAGCCCGGGGCUCAACUCCGGGACUGCUUUUGAAACUGUUGAACUAGAUUGCAGGAGAGGUAAGUGGAAUUCCUAGUGUAGCGGUGAAAUGCGUAGAUAUUAGGAGGAACACCAGUGGCGAAGGCGGCUUACUGGACUGUAAAUGACGCUGAGGCUCGAAAGCGUGGGGAGCAAACAGG